Molecule: ribosomal RNA, 562 nt
Filed under: uncultured delta proteobacterium
Lineage: Bacteria; Deltaproteobacteria
Description: bacterial SSU rRNA
Rfam family: Bacterial small subunit ribosomal RNA
Source: RNAcentral
CCUACGGGAGGCAGCAGUCGGGAAUAUUGGACAAUGGGCGCAAGCCUGAUCCAGCUACGCCAAGUGAGUGAUGAAGGCCUCCGGGUUGUAAAGCUCUGUCGUAAGGGAAGAUAAUGACGGUACCUUACAAGAAAGCGCCGGCUAACUCCGUGCCAGCAGCCGCGGUAAUACGGAGGGUGCAAGCGUUACUCGGAAUUACUGGGCGUAAAGGGAGCGCAGGCGGUCUAUUAAGUCAGGUGUGAAAGCCCGGGGCUCAACCCCGGAACUGCACCUGAAACUGGUAGACUUGAGGAUGAGAGAGGAAAGUAGAAUUUCUGGUGUAGAGGUGAAAUUCGUUGAUAUCAGAAGGAAUACCCGUGGCGAAGGCGGCUUUCUGGCUCAUUUCUGACGCUGAGGCUCGAAAGUGUGGGUAGCAAACAGGAUUAGAUACCCUGGUAGUCCACACCGUAAACGAUGAAUGCUAGGCGACCGGUUCGUUUAUCGACUGGGUGCCGUAGUUAACGCAUUAAGCAUUCCGCCUGGGGAGUACGGUCGCAAGAUUAAAACUCAAAUGAAUUGACGG